This 70-nucleotide transfer RNA is filed under the name Dipodomys ordii (Ord's kangaroo rat). It matches the Rfam family "tRNA". From Rfam's summary of the family: Transfer RNA (tRNA) molecules are approximately 80 nucleotides in length. Their secondary structure includes four short double-helical elements and three loops (D, anti-codon, and T loops). Further hydrogen bonds mediate the characteristic L-shaped molecular structure. tRNAs have two regions of fundamental functional importance: the anti-codon, which is responsible for specific mRNA codon recognition, and the 3' end, to which the tRNAs corresponding amino acid is attached (by aminoacyl-tRNA synthetases). tRNAs cope with the degeneracy of the genetic code in two manners: having more than one tRNA (with a specific anti-codon) for a particular amino acid; and 'wobble' base-pairing, i.e. permitting non-standard base-pairing at the 3rd anti-codon position. The record is from Rfam by way of RNAcentral. Lineage: Eukaryota; Metazoa; Chordata; Mammalia; Rodentia; Heteromyidae.
GGGAAUGUGGCUUAGUGGUAGAGUACUUGCUUAGCAUGCAUGAAGCCCUGGGUUUGAUUCCUCAUUACCA